Molecule: long non-coding RNA, 1028 nt
Filed under: Selaginella moellendorffii
Lineage: Eukaryota; Viridiplantae; Streptophyta; Lycopodiopsida; Selaginellales; Selaginellaceae
Description: long non-coding RNA (SMOE_LNC000044)
Source: RNAcentral
UCCUCACUCUCUAGUCUCGCACUUCCGGCCAUGGCGAGCUUUGAAGUGCAAGAGCGCCAAGUCUCAAUGAUCUCUCCCGAGAAGAAACUGGAAGAUGCCCACUACUCCAAGCUUCCAUUCACGACUUUCGACAUAAUGCAAAAGAGAAGCAGCAUGCCUUACCUCCAGCGCGUUUGCUUCUUCGAAUCCAAAGGCGGUAGCAGUAGCAGUAACGAGAGCUUGAUUGAGAGGAUGAAGGCGAGCUUGGCCAAAGUCCUGGUAGAUUUCUAUCCCUUAGCUGGAAGGCUAGAGAUAAAAAACGAGGGAGACAGACCUGUGAUCUCUUGCAGCGGAGCCGGCGUUGAGUUCUGCGUCGCUGAUGCAAACGUCUCCCUGGAGGAGCUCGAUUACUCCCAGCCCCGGCCGUGGUUCUCCAAGCUGAUCAAAAGAGGAAACUAUGAGUUUAGUGGCUUGUCGACCAACAUACCUUUCAUCACUAUCCAGGUAAAGAUCCCGCAAAAAGACUUUUUUCUCGCGUUUGAUCUCGUGAAGAACAGGUGACCGAGUUUCGCUGCGGAGGCGUGUGUGUUGCUUGGUCGUAUGAUCAUCUCGUCAUGGACGGCAGCUCGCAGUGGCAAUUCAUGUGUUCCUGGUCCGAGAUCUGUCGAGGCCUUCCCAUCUCCAGGCCUCCAACUCACGACCGGUUUUUCGAGCAGCAGCACGAGCAGUUCUCCAGCAUAACCCCGACCAGUUCCCUUUCAUGUGUCUUCGAGGACGUUUCCACUGGCAUGGAGGCCAAGAUCUUCGAGUUCGAUGACGAGACUAUCGAGAGGCUUAAGUUCUUGGCGUCGGGUCGUUUCUCAGCGUUCGAGGUCGUGGCGUCACAGGUCUGGAUAGCACUUUGCAAGGCUCGCGAUCUUCCAGCGUCUCAGAAAACCAGCCAUCAGCUUCCACUCAACUGUAGAAGCCGGCUGAGCACUCCUCUCCCGGCGGGCUACUUUGGAAACUGUGUGCUCUGUGCGUUGGCCGAGUCCACAGCCGGGGAACUU